Long non-coding RNA from Puntigrus tetrazona (Sumatra barb), 730 nucleotides. RefSeq lists it as uncharacterized. Lineage: Eukaryota; Metazoa; Chordata; Actinopteri; Cypriniformes; Cyprinidae. The transcript has 2 exons. The record is from RefSeq and is a predicted model, not a curated record.
UCUUCAUUUGGUCAUGGAGAUCAUUAGUGAUGUGAAUGUCCUUGGAGACCCAGACAUCUGCAGGCCUCACUGGACAGCACCCAGGAGACCUGAUCCUCAAUUACCAAAUCAAAUACCAUAAAGAGCAGCGGAUGCCUAUGGAAUGAUAUCAGUGAAUGUCUCAAAUGUGUUAGAGAGAGAGAGAGAGAAAGAGGGGUCCAUAUGCACACUAGCUGUAGACUGUGUACUUCUGGACUGAAUGUUUGUGUGUUUCUGAGCAGCGUGAGGUGUUUGAUCUUGCUCUCUCUAGGAGCUGAACUUAAAAUGACUAUAAAUAACCCUCUGAUUAUUUGAGUUAAUUUCCUGCGUUUAUAUGUUAUUUUGAUAUUAGUUAGGUAUUUUCUAGAUAAUAAUUAUAUGUUUGUGAUGUUUUGAAAUGCUUCUUUGCACUCUUUAAGUUGUUUAUCCGAUGGAGACUUUUAUUUUGAAAGACGGCUUGCAGGAAAAAAGGCGCGGCGCUCGCUAAAACACGGAAACAGAGACCGCGGAGAUCGCAGAGAAGGAGAGCACGCGUACAGAAACGGAGACGGAACAAAGUUAACAUAAAUAAUUAAGAACACUUUAAAAAAGUAAAAAGGAAAUUAGCAUCGUUUUGUUUUAUUUUAACUUUGAUAUUUUAACACCUGGUUGAAAGGGAGAACAAGCUCUUACGGUGUUGUGACAAUAAAAACACAAAAGGAAGGCAACACAA